CCCCCCCGGCGCGAUGGGCGCCAAGGAACACACCGGUCGGAGGGAGGCGGCGGUGCUCCUAGCUAAUACGGCUUGGAGCGUCCGCCCCGCCCUCCUUUACCGGACACUAUAUAUAAACUUUAUGACUCUCGGCAACGGAUAUCUCGGCUCUCGCAUCGAUGAAGAACGUAGCGAAAUGCGAUACUUGGUGUGAAUUGCAGAAUCCCGCGAACCAUCGAGUUUUUGAACGCAAGUUGCGCCCGAGGCCACCCGGCCGAGGGCACGCCUGCCUGGGCGUCACGCCUCGCGUCGCUCCGCCUACCUCGCCCUGAGCACCCCGUGCUCUUACGGCGGCGGGCGGCGGAUGCGGAGAUUGGCCCUCCGUGCCUUGCGGUGCGGUGGGUCGAAGUGUCGGUCGCCGGCCGGGCGUGGCACGGUGAGUGGUGGACGGACUAGCUCCCGAGCGCCGGACGCCGUGAAAAACCAUCCCGAUGCCGGGUACAUGACAGAGAUGAUAAGAACCCAAACCGAAGGGCGCCGCGCGCCAUCGGAU
Molecule: ribosomal RNA, 532 nt
Filed under: Aloe viguieri
Lineage: Eukaryota; Viridiplantae; Streptophyta; Magnoliopsida; Asparagales; Asphodelaceae
Description: eukaryotic LSU rRNA
Rfam family: 5.8S ribosomal RNA (bases 124-279)
Source: RNAcentral